Molecule: ribosomal RNA, 582 nt
Filed under: uncultured Bacteroides sp.
Lineage: Bacteria; Pseudomonadati; Bacteroidota; Bacteroidia; Bacteroidales; Bacteroidaceae
Description: bacterial SSU rRNA
Rfam family: Bacterial small subunit ribosomal RNA
Source: RNAcentral
ACUCGGGAAUAGCCUUUCGAAAGAAAGAUUAAUGCCCGAUGGUAUAACAGGCCCGCAUGGUCCUGUUAUUAAAGAUUCAUCGGUAACCGAUGGGGAUGCGUUCCAUUAGGCAGUUGGCGGGGUAACGGCCCACCAAACCGACGAUGGAUAGGGGUUCUGAGAGGAAGGUCCCCCACAUUGGAACUGAGACACGGUCCAAACUCCUACGGGAGGCAGCAGUGAGGAAUAUUGGUCAAUGGGCGAGAGCCUGAACCAGCCAAGUAGCGUGAAGGAUGACUGCCCUAUGGGUUGUAAACUUCUUUUAUACGGGAAUAACAAGCGGCACGUGUGCCGUUCUGCAUGUACCGUAUGAAUAAGCAUCGGCUAACUCCGUGCCAGCAGCCGCGGUAAUACGGAGGAUGCGAGCGUUAUCCGGAUUUAUUGGGUUUAAAGGGAGCGCAGACGGGUCUUUAAGUCAGUUGUGAAAGUUUGCGGCUCAACCGUAAAAUUGCAGUUGAUACUGGAGACCUUGAGUGCGGUAUAGGCAGGAGGAAUUCGUGGUGUAGCGGUGAAAUGCUUAGAUAUCACGAAAAGGUCCGAUUG